GGCGAACCGGGGGAACUGAAACAUCUAAGUACCCCGAGGAAAAGAAAUCAACCGAGAUUCCGAAAGUAGCGGCGAGCGAAAUUGGACUAGCCCUUAAGCUUUACACGCGUUAGACGAACGGUCUGGAAAGUCCGACGAUACAGGGUGAUAGUCCCGUAGUUGACGACGUGUGUUCAGUGAAAUCGAGUAGGGCGGGACACGUGAUAUCCUGUCUGAAUAUGGGGGGACCAUCCUCCAAGGCUAAAUACUACUGACUGACCGAUAGUGAACCAGUACCGUGAGGGAAAGGCGAAAAGAACCCCUGUG
RNAcentral lists this ribosomal RNA (306 nucleotides) under Vibrio parahaemolyticus. Its description in RNAcentral is "partial 23S ribosomal RNA". It matches the Rfam family "Bacterial large subunit ribosomal RNA", at positions 178 to 531 of the family's 2925-position model. The record is from RNAcentral. Lineage: Bacteria; Pseudomonadati; Pseudomonadota; Gammaproteobacteria; Vibrionales; Vibrionaceae.